Molecule: ribosomal RNA, 278 nt
Filed under: uncultured bacterium
Lineage: Bacteria
Description: partial 16S ribosomal RNA
Rfam family: Bacterial small subunit ribosomal RNA
Source: RNAcentral
CUUGCUAAGUUUGAUGGCGACCGGCGCACGGGUGAGUAACACGUAUCCAACCUGCCGAUGACUCGGGGAUAGCCUUUCGAAAGAAAGAUUAAUACCCGAUGGCAUAGUUCUUCCGCAUGGUGGAACUAUUAAAGAAUUUCGGUCAUCGAUGGGGAUGCGUUCCAUUAGGUUGUUGGCGGGGUAACGGCCCACCAAGCCUUCGAUGGAUAGGGGUUCUGAGAGGAAGGUCCCCCACAUUGGAACUGAGACACGGUCCAAACUCCUACGGGAGGCAGCAG